Prunus persica (peach) is the source of this 608-nucleotide long non-coding RNA. RefSeq lists it as uncharacterized. The transcript is spliced from 4 exons. Lineage: Eukaryota; Viridiplantae; Streptophyta; Magnoliopsida; Rosales; Rosaceae. The record is from RefSeq and is a predicted model, not a curated record.
AGGUGAAGAAGAACAACCAUGUAGUAAGAAAGUUGGAGAAGCGUCAACAGAUUUGCACCCUUGACCAGCACAUUGAAGAGCAAUUUGGUGGUGGUCGUCUAUUGGCUUGUAUCUCAUCACGACCUGGACAGUGGCUGUGCUGAUGGGAUGGGAAAACAUUGGACAAUGAGUUGGAGGUUGUUGAGGGAAUGAAGCUAGACAGGGGCUACAUAUCCCCUUAUUUCAUCACCAACCAGAACAAUCAGAAAUGUGAAUUGGAAAAUCCUCUAAUCAUAAUCCAUGAGAAGAAAAUCUCAAGUAUUAAUGAUGUGGUUAAAGUUUUGGAGUUGGUUUUGCAGUUAUGAUUUUAGAUCUGUAGAUAACCUGUUGUUGCUGAUAUUGCUACACGGGAGGAGAAUAGAACAGCUUGGAAAAUGUGCAAGAAGGGAGAGCUAACUCAUACAACGAAGAACAAAUUGAUGAAGUUAAGAUCAAAUUAGUAGAAUUUGUGAGCUCUCCAUUAUUUAUAAUUAUAGGUAGGAAGUAUGUAUGUAAUAGAGCAAAGAUUGGUUGACUAUGUAAUAACAAUUGAAUUGUCAAGUUUUAUGAAAGAAAUAAUUUUUGCUUCU